RNAcentral lists this ribosomal RNA (1542 nucleotides) under Salmonella enterica subsp. enterica serovar Potsdam. RNAcentral describes it as "16S ribosomal RNA". It matches the Rfam family "Bacterial small subunit ribosomal RNA". RNAcentral also lists the same sequence under 11 other names. Lineage: Bacteria; Pseudomonadati; Pseudomonadota; Gammaproteobacteria; Enterobacterales; Enterobacteriaceae. The record is from RNAcentral.
AAAUUGAAGAGUUUGAUCAUGGCUCAGAUUGAACGCUGGCGGCAGGCCUAACACAUGCAAGUCGAACGGUAACAGGAAGCAGCUUGCUGCUUCGCUGACGAGUGGCGGACGGGUGAGUAAUGUCUGGGAAACUGCCUGAUGGAGGGGGAUAACUACUGGAAACGGUGGCUAAUACCGCAUAACGUCGCAAGACCAAAGAGGGGGACCUUCGGGCCUCUUGCCAUCAGAUGUGCCCAGAUGGGAUUAGCUUGUUGGUGAGGUAACGGCUCACCAAGGCGACGAUCCCUAGCUGGUCUGAGAGGAUGACCAGCCACACUGGAACUGAGACACGGUCCAGACUCCUACGGGAGGCAGCAGUGGGGAAUAUUGCACAAUGGGCGCAAGCCUGAUGCAGCCAUGCCGCGUGUAUGAAGAAGGCCUUCGGGUUGUAAAGUACUUUCAGCGGGGAGGAAGGUGUUGUGGUUAAUAACCACAGCAAUUGACGUUACCCGCAGAAGAAGCACCGGCUAACUCCGUGCCAGCAGCCGCGGUAAUACGGAGGGUGCAAGCGUUAAUCGGAAUUACUGGGCGUAAAGCGCACGCAGGCGGUCUGUCAAGUCGGAUGUGAAAUCCCCGGGCUCAACCUGGGAACUGCAUUCGAAACUGGCAGGCUUGAGUCUUGUAGAGGGGGGUAGAAUUCCAGGUGUAGCGGUGAAAUGCGUAGAGAUCUGGAGGAAUACCGGUGGCGAAGGCGGCCCCCUGGACAAAGACUGACGCUCAGGUGCGAAAGCGUGGGGAGCAAACAGGAUUAGAUACCCUGGUAGUCCACGCCGUAAACGAUGUCUACUUGGAGGUUGUGCCCUUGAGGCGUGGCUUCCGGAGCUAACGCGUUAAGUAGACCGCCUGGGGAGUACGGCCGCAAGGUUAAAACUCAAAUGAAUUGACGGGGGCCCGCACAAGCGGUGGAGCAUGUGGUUUAAUUCGAUGCAACGCGAAGAACCUUACCUGGUCUUGACAUCCACAGAACUUUCCAGAGAUGGAUUGGUGCCUUCGGGAACUGUGAGACAGGUGCUGCAUGGCUGUCGUCAGCUCGUGUUGUGAAAUGUUGGGUUAAGUCCCGCAACGAGCGCAACCCUUAUCCUUUGUUGCCAGCGGUUAGGCCGGGAACUCAAAGGAGACUGCCAGUGAUAAACUGGAGGAAGGUGGGGAUGACGUCAAGUCAUCAUGGCCCUUACGACCAGGGCUACACACGUGCUACAAUGGCGCAUACAAAGAGAAGCGACCUCGCGAGAGCAAGCGGACCUCAUAAAGUGCGUCGUAGUCCGGAUUGGAGUCUGCAACUCGACUCCAUGAAGUCGGAAUCGCUAGUAAUCGUGGAUCAGAAUGCCACGGUGAAUACGUUCCCGGGCCUUGUACACACCGCCCGUCACACCAUGGGAGUGGGUUGCAAAAGAAGUAGGUAGCUUAACCUUCGGGAGGGCGCUUACCACUUUGUGAUUCAUGACUGGGGUGAAGUCGUAACAAGGUAACCGUAGGGGAACCUGCGGUUGGAUCACCUCCUUA